RNAcentral lists this ribosomal RNA (424 nucleotides) under uncultured archaeon. RNAcentral's name for it is "bacterial SSU rRNA". It matches the Rfam family "Archaeal small subunit ribosomal RNA", at positions 325 to 747 of the family's 1478-position model. The record is from RNAcentral.
ACGGGGCGCAGCAGGCGCGAAACCUUUACACUGCACGCCAGUGCGAUAAGGGGACCCCGAGUGAAAGGGCAUAUCGCCCUUUCUUUUCUGAACCGUAGGGAGGUUCAGGAACAAGAGCUGGGCAAGACCGGUGCCAGCCGCCGCGGUAAUACCGGCAGCUCGAGUGAUGACCGAUUUUAUUGGGCCUAAAGCGUCCGUAGCUGGCCGCGCAAGUCUGUCGGGAAAUCCACCCGCUUAACGGGUGGGCGUCCGGCGGAAACUGUGCGGCUUGGGACAGGAAGGCUCGAGGGGUACGUUCGGGGUAGGAGUGAAAUCCUGUAAUCCUGAACGGACCACCGAUGGCGAAAGCACCUCGAGAGGACUGAUCCGACAGUGAGGGACGAAAAGCUGGGGUCUCGAACCGGAUUAGAUACCCCCGUAGUCC